Molecule: long non-coding RNA, 1005 nt
Organism: Stomoxys calcitrans (stable fly)
Lineage: Eukaryota; Metazoa; Arthropoda; Insecta; Diptera; Muscidae
Exons: 4
Source: RefSeq, a predicted model, not a curated record
UUCAAUAAAGCUUGUUCUUAGAGAAGAUUUCAUUGAUAUUAUCUGUUUAAUGCAAUUUUAUUAGAAGUAAUAUUAAACAACAUGGAACAGCCUUCAUUAUUUGAGCUUCCUGAGGUAUUCUACCCACCGAAAAUUGCGAAAUUUAAGGGAAAAAUUCGACUUUUUGUUGUGACAAUUGAAUAAAGUUUUCCAGAGAAAAAUUUACGAUUUGAUGAUUUUUAUUCUUAAUUUUGAAAAUUUGGACUAAAACAAACCUGGCAGCACUAAGUAUACAUCCAAUGAAUGAAACGUGUUUCCAUUUUUGGCCAAUAGCAAACCGUAUGCAGUAAACUCAACAUUUUGAUCAUGGUAAAGUACACGAACGAACAACGUAUGCAAAUCAUAUAAAUUUACUACUGAAAUUCGGAGUCGAUAACCGCUACUUUAAGAGCAAAAUCAUCUUCAGUGACGAAACUCAUUUUUGGCUAAAGGGUUCGUCAAAAAGCAAAUAUGACUUAUUUGUUAGUUAAAAAUCCAAAUGUGCUUCAUAAAUCAACACUUCAUCCCUAAAAGGUUACUGUAUGGUGCGGUUUGCAUGCCGGCGGCAUCAUUGGGACAUACUUCUUCGUCGACAUUGCCAAUCGUCAGUUUCAGCAGAAUGGGCCACAAGCCAAGUCAUUCAAGUCAUCAGCCUAUGCUAACAAGCCGACAACGCACAAUGGAAAUGAUGGAAAGUAAUAUAUAUAUAGAGGCAACAAAUGUAAAAAAGGCACGGAAGGAAGAUAAUACGAUACUUCAUAUAGUGAAUGUGGAGAUAGUUUCCAAAAAGAAUGCAAAAUUUGGAGACCCUUUUAAGUCCAGGGGCUGACAUGGGGCGUUUCUGCUGGUCACCUCGAGUAUUUCUAAGCAUUUGAAGUGCUGCCAAAUAAGCACGAUUUUAGUCCAGAUAUCGUCGGCAUUUUUGGAAUUGUGGCACUAUUUCUUUACCGAUUGCAAAUCUGAUUACACCACUGAAAAGGUCACAAA